CAUAGGAGAUUGGCUUAAGGAAGAUCUUUUCUCUGCUUUAGAUGAUGAUGGUGAAGUUCUUCAACAAGUUGAUCAAGAUAUAUUUUCCUCUAAAGAUGGUGCUUGUUCUAUGGCGGCAUCAAUUGAUAAUCUUGAUGAUGACUAGAUAUAUUUUCCUCAAAGGUUGUGGUUGUUUGAUGAUUUUA
Non-coding RNA from Arachis ipaensis, 185 nucleotides. The record is from RefSeq and is a predicted model, not a curated record. NCBI's taxonomy places the organism in Eukaryota, Viridiplantae, Streptophyta, Magnoliopsida, Fabales, Fabaceae.